GCAGCANGCGCGCAAAUUACCCACUCCCGGCACGGGGAGGUAGUGACGAAAAAUAACGAUACGGGACUCAUCCGAGGCCCCGUAAUCGGAAUGAGUACACUUUAAACCCUUUAACGAGUAUCCAUUGGAGGGCAAGUCUGGUGCCAGCAGCCGCGGUAAUUCCAGCUCCAAUAGCGUAUAUUAAAGUUGUUGCGGUUAAAAAGCUCGUAGUUGGAUUUGUGUCCCACGCUGUCGGUUCACCCGUUCGUCGGUGUUUAACUGGCAUGCCCGUGUGGACGUCCUGCCGGUGGAUGCGGUCGGCCGUGGGCCUCUGGUCUGCGUGUCGGCGGUCCGAUGCAAUCCUACCGCGGUGCUCUUCACCGAGUGUCGAGGUGGGCCGGCACGUUUACUUUGAACAAAUUAGAGUGCUCAAAGCAGGCAGUGGUUCGCCUGAAUAUUGUGUGCAUGGAAUAAUGGAAUAGGACCUCGGUUCUAUUUUGUUGGUUUUCGGAACUUGAGGUAAUGAUUAAUAGGGACAGACGGGGGCAUUCGUAUUGCGACGUUAGAGGUGAAAUUCUUGGAUCGUCGCAAGACGAACCUAAGCGAAAGCAUUUGCCAUGAGUGUUUUCAUUAAUCAAGAACGAAAGUUAGAGGUUCGAAGGCGAUCAGAUACCGCCCUAGUUCUAACCAUAAACGAUGCCAGCUAGCGAUCCGCCGAAGUUCCUCCGAUGACUCGGCGGGCAGCUUCCGGGAAACCAAAGCUUUUGGGUUCCGGGGGAAGUAUGGUUGCAAAGCUGAAACUUAAAGGAAUUGACGGAAGGGCACCACCAGGAGUGGAGCCUGCGGCUUAAUUUGACUCAACACGGGAAACCUCACCAGGCCCGGACACCGGAAGGAUUGACAGAUUGAGAGCUCUUUCUUGAUUCGGUGGGUGGUGGUGCAUGGCCGUUCUUAGUUGGUGGAGCG
This 945-nucleotide ribosomal RNA is filed under the name Acrophylla wuelfingi. RNAcentral's name for it is "SSU rRNA". It matches the Rfam family "Eukaryotic small subunit ribosomal RNA", at positions 425 to 1308 of the family's 1831-position model. Lineage: Eukaryota; Metazoa; Arthropoda; Insecta; Phasmatodea; Phasmatidae. The record is from RNAcentral.